AAAAGAGAUUUAUACCGAGGUUCUUGAGGUAGUGUGGAUUUAUUCGAUACAUUGCUGGAGAUUGGAGGUGGAAUAACACCCGAUUUAGUAACGUCUGAAUGCGUGCUGGUUACUGUAACAAAAAAAUAAUAUCUAUGCAGGAUAGCUACAAAUUGCUAUGUGCAAUAAAGGCUGUGAAUAAAGGUGAAGACAAGAAAAUUACCAAAAGCUGGAGGAGUGUGUAGAGAAGAAAUUGAAGAGAAAAGUAGUGGCAUUUAUGAGGUAGAUUAAGGAGUAGAAGAGAUUGGACACUUGUCCUUAGAUUUCGGUAUUUGGAGAGAUGACACAGCACCAGCUAGAGUAUCUUCGACCAUGGUAAGCCCCCACUCGACGCUCCACCGCCCCUGCGUCCUCUGAUAUAGAUUUGUUUUCAAGAAUUAUGUGCACCACAUGAGCAAAAUAAAUGUGUACAUAAAUCUAA
Molecule: long non-coding RNA, 460 nt
Organism: Folsomia candida
Lineage: Eukaryota; Metazoa; Arthropoda; Collembola; Entomobryomorpha; Isotomidae
Exons: 3
Source: RefSeq, a predicted model, not a curated record